CGUUCCCAGGCCUUGUACACACCGCCCGUCAAGCCAUGGAAGUUGGAAGUGCCUGAAGUGCGUAACCGCAAGGAGCGUCCUAGGGUAAAGUCGAUAACUGGGGCU
Molecule: ribosomal RNA, 105 nt
Filed under: uncultured bacterium
Lineage: Bacteria
Description: partial 16S ribosomal RNA
Rfam family: Bacterial small subunit ribosomal RNA
Source: RNAcentral